Molecule: long non-coding RNA, 1031 nt
Organism: Diabrotica virgifera virgifera (western corn rootworm)
Lineage: Eukaryota; Metazoa; Arthropoda; Insecta; Coleoptera; Chrysomelidae
Exons: 3
Source: RefSeq, a predicted model, not a curated record
GUUACACUUUUUUUCCUACAGCAUUUCAAAGAAACGAGUUGUACGCGUUCUACGACAGAAGUUGAGUGUAUCGUGAAAAAAAGUGUAAACACUAGAAAAACAAAGAAACAAGAAAGUGUAACACUUUUACACUUUUCUUACACUUUUCAAGAACUAGUGUUACACUUAAAACAAAGGAACAGACCUAUUAUAAACAUACAAAUGUAAUAAAAAUUAUUGUUCGCGAAUAUUCAAUUUGGAAUGCGAUUUUGUUAAUAAAAAAAAUACUUAUAACUUAUGCAAAACCCAAGAGAGGCAUUUAUAUUUAUUUCUUUUGCGUUCAUUUUCAAAUUCGCCGUGCAUAUAUUUUUGUGCAUGGCGCUUGAGAGGGCAUCACGUGACUAAAAACGACCAACCAACGACCUCGCUUCGGCCAUCUUGGCAUCUUCAUCUUGGCGACUGGCGACCUUGCCCGGCCUUGCCUUGCCGUGGAUUGUUUGCAUUAUUUGUGCUUUUUAAGAAUAUUUUUUUAAUUCGGAUACUUUUAUAAUAGCUUUAAUAGUAUUAUUAACAUAGUGCAUAAAAUGGUGUCCUGUUUUUAACGCAGUUGGAGUAGCAGAAACAAAUGUAGAUAAAAAAAUCUGCAGGAAUAACGUUUCAAUUAUGACAGAAGCUCAAAACAAAUGACUGUGAAUGAACAGCCCUAUUAAAAGCUUUCCAGAAGAUCCUGCGAAGAAGACAUGAAGUAUAGAUCAGAUUUGUUAAUAGAGGAGUAUGUUCAAAACACUUUUUAGAAAAAGAUAUUGACAGAACUUCACUUUCAUCUGUUCGUUUGAGAGACUGUGCUGUUCCAAUAGCUUAUGUCACACAGAAUCAGCUGAGAGAAGUGGUCUACAAAAAACCAGAAAGGAAACCGAAUAUGUGGCUACGAAAAGCAAAAGAAAGGUUUACAAAGCAAAUGUGACACAUUUUUUUAUAAUAUUUAGGAAUGUCAGCAAAUUACAUUAAAAAAUGUAUGUAAAGAUUUUUUGCAAUAAAAAUGUUUAUAUUUA